Molecule: transfer RNA, 69 nt
Filed under: Plutella xylostella (diamondback moth)
Lineage: Eukaryota; Metazoa; Arthropoda; Insecta; Lepidoptera; Plutellidae
Description: tRNA-Glu
Source: RNAcentral
GUGGUGGCUCAGUCGGGUAAGCGCUCGACUCUCACGCCAGACAUGCGGGUUCAAAUCCCGUGGCAGACA